UCCACUCUGAGAGGUACGUUCUCGAUACCUACUCUUUAUCUCUUGUUUUUAAACUUACCUAUCGAAUAUGAUAAUUAUGAAAGUGGACAAUUAAAUUGUUUGUGAUUAUUUUAUCGCGAUGAAAAUGAAUGUAGCAUCAAUCAGGCCAUUGAAUGAAUAACUUACCUAUCUAAUGCAGAUCAUAAUAGGAUGAGACAUCUACACUCAUAUGGUAUGAAAAACAGAAUUUCUCGCACCAAACAUUCAAUAACAAUUAACCUAUUGGCCAUCAAUUUUGACGUAUAAAUUCACAUUGUUCUUAGCAAACGGAUCAAUAUUUGAAAACUAACUAUGAUUACUCGUAUCAUACACAUACGUACACCCCACAAUAUCGAACUAGUGAUGGUAUUUAUUUCGAUAAUUUUCCUCGUAAUUUAUUUAAUCAUAAGUACAAAUCGACAAUACCUGAAAAAUUUACCAAACAGAACGAUGUAUUCGUAUUCGAUAUCAUUACUAAUGUCAUACAUCGGAUACAUAAGUUUACGUCUUAUUAGUCGUGAAAUGAUCCACGAACAUUUCAAACCAAUAUUUUACUUAGGUAAUUACGGCAUAGAAAUUAAAUAUUAUUGGACCUUUA
Planococcus citri (citrus mealybug) is the source of this 616-nucleotide long non-coding RNA. RefSeq lists it as uncharacterized. NCBI's taxonomy places the organism in Eukaryota, Metazoa, Arthropoda, Insecta, Hemiptera, Pseudococcidae. The record is from RefSeq and is a predicted model, not a curated record. The transcript is spliced from 2 exons.